UUGGACAUUUUUUAAGAUCCUCUUUAAUCUCUGUGGUCGGCUUAAAAGCAGAGACCGUAACUGUUAUAACUUUUAAAGUAACUUGGUACUCGAAGAGUAAAUAGGAUAUAUUGUAUUUGUGGGGAAUAACGGUUGUAUGCAACGCACAGAAGGAAACGUUUCUGAACCCAUAAAGUAUAUAUAUUCUUGAUCAGCAUCAAUAGCCGAGUCGAUUGAGCCAUGUCUGUCUGUCCGUCCGUCCUUAUGAGCGCCUGGAUCUCAGAGACUAUAAAAGCUAGAGCCACCAAAUUUUGCAUCCAAACCUAAAAAUUUGAUCUUCAAAAAGAAAACUAAAGACGCCAGGAAAUGACCAUAUCUAUCAGAUCACCAAAUUGGGAUCCGAUUGGAACAUUAUUAUAGCCACAAUAAAGAAAUUAAUUUGCAGUGGCUACACCCACCCUGUCCCGCAGCUUUUGUUGUUAUUUUUUCACAUUCUCUCAUUCACACUCUGCUUCCUGCAGUGUGCGGCAGCUGCCUCUGCCUCGUCUCUGCCUCUGCAGUGUUUGGCUCUACGGAAGGGGGGCGAGCUAAAGGAGCGUGUUUUCGUGAGAAGUGUUGUAGAUGUAGAUGACAGAUGAAGACAACAUUUAAAAUUUGACAUAUAACGCUAGGGUACAGAUGUAGUUCUGAGUGCAGGGUAUAAGAGUUGUGACGCGUAAGAAGCGUCUCACACGUCC
RNAcentral lists this long non-coding RNA (716 nucleotides) under Drosophila guanche. The record is from RNAcentral. Lineage: Eukaryota; Metazoa; Arthropoda; Insecta; Diptera; Drosophilidae.